Molecule: long non-coding RNA, 1633 nt
Filed under: Mytilus galloprovincialis (Mediterranean mussel)
Lineage: Eukaryota; Metazoa; Mollusca; Bivalvia; Mytilida; Mytilidae
Source: RNAcentral
UGCGCUGCGGAGGAAGACUAAACAACGCACCAUUAGAUUAUAAUACGAAGUAUCCAAUUUUGUUACCAACGAAACACCAUUUUACGUCGUUGAUAAUUAGAGACAUGCAUCACAAAAAUCUACACUCUGGACUAAACAGCACAAUUGCGCAUAUUCAGCAGAAGUUUUGGAUUCCGAGAAUUCGUCAAUGUGUGAAAUACCAUCUUAGAAAAUGCUCACAGUGCAAUAAAGUAACAGGAAAACCUUACCGCGCACCUGAGCCACCGCCGCUUCCGAAAGAUAGACUUAACGAUGAAUAUCCCUUUUUUGUUACAGGUGUCGACUUUACAGGCGCUUUGUGUACAAAAGGACAAAAUAACAUUGACUGCAAAACUUAUAUUUGCCUGUUUACAUGUGCAGCAACACGAGCAGUACAUCUAGAAAUUGUACCGGAUAUGAAAGAAGAGUCAUUCAUGUUAGCUUUUAGGAGAUUUGUGGCACGUCGUUCACUUCCAAGAAUAAUGAUGUCAGAUAACGCUAAUACAUUUAAAGCUGCAGCCGAAUCAAUUCAACAAAAAGUGGUGGAGCAUGGAACCGAAUGGAAAUUUAUCCCAAAUAGAGCCCCAUGGUUUGGUGGAUGGUGGGAAAGACUUAUAGGACUAACCAAAAAUGCUAUUAAAAAAGUAUUAGGUCGAUCAUUUGUUACUAUUGACAUGCUUCGAACCAUAGUGACUGAAAUUGAAAGCAUGCUGAAUAAUCGUCCGAUUACGUAUAUAUCAACAGACAUAACCGACCCACAACCACUUACGCCAUCACACUUACUAAACGGAAGGAGAUUGGAUUCGCUACCACAUCAAAUGGAUGAUAUUGAAAACUUUCACAAUUCUAACCAUUCGUCUUGUAACAAAAAACUUCAGAGACAACAUCAACUGAUUGAACAUUUUCGUACACGUUGGAGGAAUGAAUAUUUAACAUCUUUAAGAGAAUUCCACCGUGCAACUGGUAAUAACGUUCAAACUAUUGAAGUAGGAGACAUCGUUCAAGUUCACAACGAUUCCAAUAGACUUAUGUGGAGGUUAGCCGUCGUGAAGGAGUUGAUUCGUGGAAAAGAUGGAUUUAUCCGCACUGCUAUCAUCAAAACAGAUACUGGUAUUACAAACCGACCAAUUGUUAAAUUAUAUCCGUUGGAAUUACAAGGACCAACUAGUGAAAAUUGUAAAACGCACUAUUUACUUCGUUCCCGCCAAAAGUAAACCAAAAAGGACUUUUACAUAUCAAUUACAUUCAAUGACGGAGGGGCAAAAUGAAAGACAAUUGUGAAUUAGUUAAAGUAAUUUUCAGGAGUAAUUUUAAGUAUCGUAAAUUACAGAGACAGUAAAAGUAAAUUCUUUUUGUAUUCUUUUGUGAUUGUAAAUUUUAUCAUUUUUCUUUAGUAAUUUCCAUUUCGGUGGCCCCAGGAUGUCGAGGAUUGCGGGAACGUUAUGCGUUCGUAUGUGUGCCGUCGCCACUGACGAUGUGACGUCGCGUUACUAUGUAUAUUGUAUCUUAUGAUUCUAUGCUUUUGAAUGAAUGUUGAACCACACGAUUGUAUUUAUUGUUAGUCAAACCCUAAACGAACACAACGCGAAGUACAAACACACUCAAAACCCAACAA